Molecule: ribosomal RNA, 1555 nt
Filed under: Scopulibacillus daqui
Lineage: Bacteria; Bacillati; Bacillota; Bacilli; Caryophanales; Sporolactobacillaceae
Description: bacterial SSU rRNA
Rfam family: Bacterial small subunit ribosomal RNA
Source: RNAcentral
AGAGUUUGAUCCUGGCUCAGGACGAACGCUGGCGGCGUGCCUAAUACAUGCAAGUCGAGCGCGGGAAGCAGACAGAUCUCUUCGGAGUGACGUUUGUGGAACGAGCGGCGGACGGGUGAGUAACACGUGGGCAACCUGCCUGUAAGACUGGGAUAACUCCGGGAAACCGGGGCUAAUACCGGAUAACCUUACGCACCGCAUGGUGCGGAAGUAAAAGAUGGUUCUGCCAUCACUUACAGAUGGGCCCGCGGCGCAUUAGCUAGUUGGUAAGGUAAUGGCUUACCAAGGCCUCGAUGCGUAGCCGACCUGAGAGGGUGAUCGGCCACACUGGGACUGAGACACGGCCCAGACUCCUACGGGAGGCAGCAGUAGGGAAUCUUCCGCAAUGAACGAAAGUCUGACGGAGCAACGCCGCGUGAGCGAAGAAGGUUUUCGGAUCGUAAAGCUCUGUUGUUAGAGAAGAAUAGGUGUCAUAGGAAAUGAUGGCACUGUGACGGUAUCUAACCAGAAAGCCACGGCUAACUACGUGCCAGCAGCCGCGGUAAUACGUAGGUGGCAAGCGUUGUCCGGAAUUAUUGGGCGUAAAGCGCGCGCAGGCGGCUUCUUAAGUCUGAUGUGAAAGCCCACGGCUCAACCGUGGAGGGUCAUUGGAAACUGGGGAGCUUGAGUGCAGGAGAGGAGAGUGGAAUUCCACGUGUAGCGGUGAAAUGCGUAGAGAUGUGGAGGAACACCAGUGGCGAAGGCGGCUCUCUGGCCUGUAACUGACGCUGAGGCGCGAAAGCGUGGGGAGCAAACAGGAUUAGAUACCCUGGUAGUCCACGCCGUAAACGAUGAGUGCUAGGUGUUAGGGGGGUCCAACCCCUUAGUGCUGAAGUCAACACAUUAAGCACUCCGCCUGGGGAGUACGACCGCAAGGUUGAAACUCAAAGGAAUUGACGGGGGCCCGCACAAGCAGUGGAGCAUGUGGUUUAAUUCGAAGCAACGCGAAGAACCUUACCAGGUCUUGACAUCCUCUGACAACCCUAGAGAUAGGGCUUUCCCCUUCGGGGGACAGAGUGACAGGUGGUGCAUGGUUGUCGUCAGCUCGUGUCGUGAGAUGUUGGGUUAAGUCCCGCAACGAGCGCAACCCUUGAUCUUAGUUGCCAGCAUUCAGUUGGGCACUCUAAGGUGACUGCCGGUGACAAACCGGAGGAAGGUGGGGAUGACGUCAAAUCAUCAUGCCCCUUAUGACCUGGGCUACACACGUGCUACAAUGGGUGGUACAAAGGGCUGCGAGACCGCGAGGUUAAGCGAAUCCCAUAAAGCCACUCCCAGUUCGGAUUGCAGGCUGCAACUCGCCUGCAUGAAGCCGGAAUUGCUAGUAAUCGCGGAUCAGCAUGCCGCGGUGAAUCCGUUCCCGGGCCUUGUACACACCGCCCGUCACACCACGAGAGUUUGUAACACCCGAAGUCGGUGAGGUAACCUUUUGGAGCCAGCCGCCGAAGGUGGGACAAAUAAUUGGGGUGAAGUCGUAACAAGGUAGCCGUAUCGGAAGGUGCGGGUGGAUCACCUCCUU